AGAAGGGCUUCUGCGAUGGUUUCCGUCCAGGGGCCUUUUUCUUUUGC
RNAcentral lists this antisense RNA (47 nucleotides) under Rhizobium sp. BK602. Its description in RNAcentral is "ctRNA". It matches the Rfam family "ctRNA". From Rfam's summary of the family: This family represents a group of ctRNAs (or counter-transcribed RNAs) from p42d and related plasmids. ctRNAs are small, highly structured, antisense sequences which are involved in negative regulation. Members of this family are known to bind to the mRNA of repC causing translational repression. This model contains the predicted stem-loop structure followed by a U-rich tract which is proposed to act as a Rho-independent transcriptional terminator. Lineage: Bacteria; Pseudomonadati; Pseudomonadota; Alphaproteobacteria; Hyphomicrobiales; Rhizobiaceae. The record is from RNAcentral.